This is a non-coding RNA of Podarcis lilfordi (Lilford's wall lizard), 126 nucleotides long. The record is from the annotation of a GenBank genome assembly. Lineage: Eukaryota; Metazoa; Chordata; Lepidosauria; Squamata; Lacertidae.
GGAGCUGUAGUCCAGUGGUAGGGCAUCUGCUUUGUAUGCUGACUAGCUGACAAAAAGAAAGAAAAAGGGAUUUCAGUGACUGUCUUUCUAUGCAUAAAGACCCUGGUUGAAUCCCCAGCACCUCCA